This 468-nucleotide ribosomal RNA is filed under the name uncultured bacterium. RNAcentral's name for it is "partial 16S ribosomal RNA". It matches the Rfam family "Bacterial small subunit ribosomal RNA", at positions 28 to 507 of the family's 1533-position model. The record is from RNAcentral.
GACGAACGCUGGCGGCGUGCUUAACACAUGCAAGUCGAACGGAAAGGCCCUGCUUUUGUGGGGUGCUCGAGUGGCGAACGGGUGAGUAACACGUGAGUAACCUGCCCUUGACUUUGGGAUAACUUCAGGAAACUGGGGCUAAUACCGGAUAGGAGCUCCUGCUGCAUGGUGGGGGUUGGAAAGUUUCGGCGGUUGGGGAUGGACUCGCGGCUUAUCAGCUUGUUGGUGGGGUAGUGGCUUACCAAGGCUUUGACGGGUAGCCGGCCUGGGAGGGUGACCGGCCACAAUGGGACUGAGGUAGGGCCCAGACUCGUACGGGAGGCAGCAGUGGGGAAUAUUGCACAAUGGGCGGAAGCCUGAUGCAGCAACGCCGCGUUCGGGAUGACGGCCUGCGGGUUGUAAACCGCUUUCGCCUGUGACGAAGCGGGAGUGACGGUAAUGGGUAAAGAAGCACCGGCUAACUACGUG